Molecule: ribosomal RNA, 669 nt
Filed under: Streptomyces sp. 376(2010)
Lineage: Bacteria; Bacillati; Actinomycetota; Actinomycetes; Kitasatosporales; Streptomycetaceae
Description: bacterial SSU rRNA
Rfam family: Bacterial small subunit ribosomal RNA
Source: RNAcentral
GUGGAUUAGUGGCGAACGGGUGAGUAACACGUGGGCAAUCUGCCCUUCACUCUGGGACAAGCCCUGGAAACGGGGUCUAAUACCGGAUAAUACUCCUGCCUGCAUGGGCGGGGGUUGAAAGCUCCGGCGGUGAAGGAUGAGCCCGCGGCCUAUCAGCUUGUUGGUGGGGUAAUGGCCCACCAAGGCGACGACGGGUAGCCGGCCUGAGAGGGCGACCGGCCACACUGGGACUGAGACACGGCCCAGACUCCUACGGGAGGCAGCAGUGGGGAAUAUUGCACAAUGGGCGAAAGCCUGAUGCAGCGACGCCGCGUGAGGGAUGACGGCCUUCGGGUUGUAAACCUCUUUCAGCAGGGAAGAAGCGAAAGUGACGGUACCUGCAGAAGAAGCGCCGGCUAACUACGUGCCAGCAGCCGCGGUAAUACGUAGGGCGCAAGCGUUGUCCGGAAUUAUUGGGCGUAAAGAGCUCGUAGGCGGCUUGUCACGUCGGAUGUGAAAGCCCGAGGCUUAACCUCGGGUCUGCAUUCGAUACGGGCUAGCUAGAGUGUGGUAGGGGAGAUCGGAAUUCCUGGUGUAGCGGUGAAAUGCGCAGAUAUCAGGAGGAACACCGGUGGCGAAGGCGGAUCUCUGGGCCAUUACUGACGCUGAGGAGCGAAAGCGUGGGGAGCG